UACAGAGGUCCCGAGCGUUGUUCGGAUUCAUUGGGCGUAAAGGGUGCGUAGGCGGCGGGGCAAGUCUGAUGUGAAAUCCUGGGGCUCAACCCUGGAACUGCAUUGGAUACUGCCUUGCUAGAGAACUGGAGAGGAGACUGGAAUUUACGGUGUAGCAGUGAAAUGCGUAGAGAUCGUAAGGAAGACCAGUGGCGAAGGCGAGUCUCUGGACAGUUACUGACGCUGAGGCACGAAGGCCAGGGGAGCAAACGGGG
This 254-nucleotide ribosomal RNA is filed under the name uncultured bacterium. RNAcentral describes it as "partial 16S ribosomal RNA". It matches the Rfam family "Bacterial small subunit ribosomal RNA", at positions 524 to 777 of the family's 1533-position model. The record is from RNAcentral.